RNAcentral lists this long non-coding RNA (224 nucleotides) under Lathyrus oleraceus (garden pea). RNAcentral describes it as "Pisum sativum (pea) long non-coding RNA (PSAT_LNC015804)". The record is from RNAcentral. Lineage: Eukaryota; Viridiplantae; Streptophyta; Magnoliopsida; Fabales; Fabaceae.
UUAUCUCUCUUGCAAUUUUUAUUUUCCUUUUUCCUUUUUAGCAUUUAGUUAAUUCUUUUCGUGCAAUAGUUUCUACACCGGAAACUAUUGUGCACCUUUUUACCGGAUCUAACCUUACGUUAGAAUCCAGUUUUUAUUUCCUUCGUUUUGUUUUGUUGUUUAAUUGAAGAAUCCAAGAACAAAUCCUACCGGCUUGUGGUGGAGUGUUCAAGACUAUUGUUUAA